GAACCCACUUUUCUUCCCUCUCCCGCUGCUUGUGCGAUCUCCCCCUUGCCCUUGGUCGCACGCCUCCCCUAUCUCUCUCUGCAGUGCCGCACCCCAACUCCUCCUUCCAGCCGUGAGCUGAUCUACAUCUCUCUCAAAACAAAUUCCUAAUCUAUUGGGAGUCCAAUUUUUAUCCCUUUGAAACCUUAUCUAUUCCCCUUUUAUAGGAGAUAGAUAACUAGAUUUAUUUCUAGUUCUCUCCUAUAAAUAGACCCCCAACUCCCCACCUUUUCCCUGUUUUUUAGCCGUGCUGCCCACAUCGUCGCUCUGCUUCGUAGGCACCGCCUCCUGACCAGCAAGCCGCCGGCUGUCUCCUCUGUGCUGCUGCUGUCCU
This 373-nucleotide long non-coding RNA is filed under the name Oryza brachyantha (malo sina). RNAcentral describes it as "long non-coding RNA (OBRA_LNC001022)". Lineage: Eukaryota; Viridiplantae; Streptophyta; Magnoliopsida; Poales; Poaceae. The record is from RNAcentral.